GACAGAGGGUGCAAACGUUGUUCGGAAUUACUGGGCGUAAAGCGCGUGUAGGCGGCAAGGCAAGUCGGAUGUGAAAGCCCACGGCUCAACCGUGGAAGUGCACCCGAAACUGCCUAGCUAGAGUCUCGGAGAGGAAGGUGGAAUGCUUGGUGUAGAGGUGAAAUUCGUAGAUAUGUCAUAGAACACCGAUUGCGAAGGCAGCUGACGAAACUGUAACUGACACUGAGGCUCGAAAGUGUGGGGAUCAAACAGG
RNAcentral lists this ribosomal RNA (253 nucleotides) under uncultured bacterium. RNAcentral's name for it is "partial 16S ribosomal RNA". It matches the Rfam family "Bacterial small subunit ribosomal RNA", at positions 524 to 776 of the family's 1533-position model. The record is from RNAcentral.